UGUUAUAUCCCGCAUUUUUUUCCGCAUUCGGAUAGUUUAAGAUUUUGACGAAAUUGUGACGUGAAUUUGGAAUAGCUAAAGGAGCGGAAAGAGGUUAGCAGGUAUACGGACCGGGUCUCUAGGGCUCUAUCUGCAGCAUUGGGCAGCGCUCCAGUCGUUCCGGAGCCUCAUAUCAUUGGUACUAUUUUGUGUAUGUAUUUUCGGCGCGACAAUACUCGGCCCUUUCUAUGUAUAACGGUACUAUGUCUAGAGGCUCGUAGACAGAUAUACACAGUCAGCUAUGUACAGUUUAAUGUAUUGUAUUCCGAAUGGUUCGCGUUCUGGUGUAACGCGAUAUUAGAAAGUUUACUGCAAAUGUUAAUGUUUAGAAAAAAAAAUAUGGCACUGUUUAUACAGGAUAGCUAAGGGGUGCUCGGUACAAGUAUCGGGUACUCGUCACGGCCCCUAGUCGGGUCG
Molecule: long non-coding RNA, 456 nt
Organism: Lycium barbarum (goji berry)
Lineage: Eukaryota; Viridiplantae; Streptophyta; Magnoliopsida; Solanales; Solanaceae
Exons: 3
Source: RefSeq, a predicted model, not a curated record